CUGCUUUCCACCAAAUGGAACUUAGGAAAGCUCCAAAAAAUCCUGACUCAACCAUUUUCAAAAGGAGCAGGUCCCACCCACACCCCUGAGAAGCUACUGAUUCCUUCUAAAUACCUCUGACUGAGUUGAGUGAAAGCAUCAAUAUCCACGAAGCACUAUGCUAGAAAUGAGGACAGCAAAGUCAUGAACAGAGAUACAGUGUAAGGCUCCACUGACAUGGGCAUGCAGACCGUUUUGCUUUCCAAAGAAAACUGAAGACCAGCGCCUCUCCGGAAAUCCUUCAGACUUUCAGUAGCAGCUUGGGACUGCUGAGGCAUCCAGGUUUGUGACGCAUCCAAAAAAGGUUCAGCUUUUAGACGCACAAUUACCAUAUUGCAAAAACUGGGGACAACAUCUGGGAUGAGGAAGAAAGCAACAGUGAACGGAAAUAGAAGUUCCUUUUUUUUCCAUGCUGGAAGUUGGUAAAAGGAAAAUACAGAAUUUACACCCGUGUGUGCAAA
RNAcentral lists this small RNA (500 nucleotides) under Rattus norvegicus (Norway rat). RNAcentral describes it as "uncharacterized LOC102549766". The record is from RNAcentral. Lineage: Eukaryota; Metazoa; Chordata; Mammalia; Rodentia; Muridae.